AUGGUUACCAACUGGUCGCCUUCGCGCCACUUUCUUAACCCCGCAAUCAUUUUCAACCCGCCUGCCCGAGCACCAAAUCCACGCACGAUCGGCUCGGGUUACACUUUAGCUUGCGUUUUCACGCCGCGAUUGAAAAGUUUUCGGGAUAGUUGCGCGUUUAUCCCCCUCUUUUGUCGGCUACAGACCGCACGGCAGCCCGAGCAAGUGAGCGAAGAUGGUGGAUUUCGGCUGCUGCAUGAAGAGCUGGACCCCCAGGAAAGGACCACCUUUCCCAUGGUGCUGGAUGCCGGCGCUGUCUAAGUAUUGCCAAAGUGCUUACAGUGCAGGUGGGGAUCAGUAGCAAUGCUGUGUAUCUGGAGGUAUUGCACUUGUCCCGGCCUGUGUAGGAACAGGAAGAUAGAGCUGAUCUGGAUUCUGACCUGAAUGUUGGCUGAAAAACUGAUGCACACUGUCAUGUUUGCCUUUGCCUGAAAUGAAAUGAUGUCUUGUGUGUGGAUAACUGUAAUGUUGAUUGAAAAGGAUUAAACGUUUUCCACUCUUUAUCUCAAUGAUUUAUUCAUUUAGAACUCUGAUGGGUUAGCC
RNAcentral lists this long non-coding RNA (582 nucleotides) under Betta splendens (Siamese fighting fish). RNAcentral's name for it is "lncRNA (ENSBSLG00000002165.1)". The stretch from base 315 to 391 matches the Rfam family "mir-92 microRNA precursor family". The record is from RNAcentral. Lineage: Eukaryota; Metazoa; Chordata; Actinopteri; Anabantiformes; Osphronemidae.